RNAcentral lists this ribosomal RNA (450 nucleotides) under uncultured Glomeromycotina. RNAcentral's name for it is "SSU rRNA". It matches the Rfam family "Eukaryotic small subunit ribosomal RNA", at positions 569 to 1024 of the family's 1831-position model. The record is from RNAcentral. Lineage: Eukaryota; Fungi; Glomeromycota.
AGCAGCCGCGGUAAUUCCAGCUCCAAUAGCGUAUAUUAAAGUUGUUGCAGUUAAAAAGCUCGUAGUUGAAUUUCGGGAUCAGAUUGUCGGUCGUGCCUCGGUACGUACUGGCAUUAUUGGUUCCUACCUUCUGAAGAACCGCGAUGUCAUUAAUUUGGUGUCGUGGGGAAUCAGGACUGUUACUUUGAAAAAAUUAGAGUGUUUAAAGCAGGCGCACGCUUGAAUACAUUAGCAUGGAAUAAUGAAAUAGGACGUUUGAUUCUAUUUUGUUGGUUUCUAGGAUCGACGUAAUGAUUAAUAGGGAUAGUUGGGGGCAUUAGUAUUCAAUUGUCAGAGGUGAAAUUCUUGGAUUUAUUGAAGACUAACUACUGCGAAAGCAUUUGCCAAGGAUGUUUUCAUUAAUCAAGAACGAAAGUUAGGGGAUCGAAGACGAUCAGAUACCGUCGUAGU